Eriocheir sinensis (Chinese mitten crab) is the source of this 659-nucleotide long non-coding RNA. RefSeq lists it as uncharacterized. The record is from RefSeq and is a predicted model, not a curated record. Lineage: Eukaryota; Metazoa; Arthropoda; Malacostraca; Decapoda; Varunidae. The transcript has 3 exons.
AUUUUUCCCUCUCCUGCUUACACCCCUGCACAGAUCUCCUUCCCCUUUGGUCAGCAGGUAGAGGAGUCCUUCCCCUACCUGCUGAUACCAAGCGCAUGCCUCUACAUUAAGCAGGUACGGAGAAAAAGGGGAAAAUAUCAGCAGGUAAAAAUCUCAUAACUCAAUUUUUGCCACCAUUUUCAACUUGACAUCUGCUUACAUUUUUCCCUCUCCUGCUUACACCCCUGCACCGAUCCCCUUCCCCUUUGGUCAGCAGGUAGAGGAGUCCUUCCCCUACCUGCUGACACCAAGCGCAUGCCUCUACAUUAAGCAGGUACGGAGAAAAAGGGGAAAAUAUCAGCAGGUAAAAAUCUCAUAACUCAAUUUUUACCACCAUUUUCAACUCGACAUCUGCUUACAUUUUCCCCUCCCCUGCUUACACCCCUGCACGGAUCCCCUUCCCCUUUGUACAGCAGGUAGAGGAGUCCUUCCCCUACCUGCUGAUACCAAGCGCAUGACUCUACAUUAAGCAGGUACGGAGAAAAAGGGGGAAAUAUCAGCAGGUAAAAAUCUCAUAACUCAAUUUUUACCACCAUUUUCAACUUGACAUCUGCUUACAUUUUCCCCUCCCCUGCUUACACCCCUGCACGGAUCCCCUUCCCCUUUGUACAGCAGCUAGA